UAAUCAGUUAAUAAUCAUAGUUUUAGGGGGGAGGAGUGUGGUGGAGUCUGCGGGCCUAUGGGGAAGGGCAUGGUGAUGUUGCAUGGUGGGCGUGAUGAUGGGAGGUGGCCGUGGGGGUCGGCAAGGGAUAUGAGGUGUGCGCGCCGCCUGAGGCGUCGUAGUAAUGCUGGAGUCGGCUGGCUCGUGAGUGUACCGAGUACGGAAUAAAGGGGAGCCGCGGGCACAGUACGCCCGCGCUCGCACUCGUGCAACACAGCCCGGCUCGACUGUUCCUCCGCUUCGUGUCUGCCUGCUAAGCAUCUCUCAUUUCAGUACAGUACACUUUUGAGUGGUGUAAUUUUAUAGGUUUUAGGAUAAAUCCAAUAUGGCUGCCAGCCAUGUGACCUAUGAUAUCAUAAGGAGGGCACCAUGACAUCAUAAAAAAAAUGAAACACAUUCCGCAUGAGGAGUACUUGCUGUGCGCCAAGUUUCAAGUUUUUUUCCUUGGUGCAGGAAAGCACUAUCGUAUCCAGUUUGUAUGACUGCACACCGAUAUUGGGGAGCCGCGCAGCCCAGCAACUACAACUACUUGAGAUCCGACAUGAAAAUAUCUGCCACCUCGUAAGCACACCAGCAACAAAUCCUCCCAGCAAAUUCCUGACACUUGAUAAUGUGAUGGAACGCUAUUGUGAUCUCUUCACCGGCAAUGGACUGUUUGAAGGGGGGAGCAUCAUAUCGAGACUGACCCCAAAGUCAAACCAGUCGUACAUCUACCACCCAGAGUUCCAGUGGUACUGCAUUCCAAGAUUGAGGAGUAACUUAGUCAUUUGGAAGAGCUGGGCAUCAUUACACCAGUGCAGGAGAUAUCUAUCAAGGCUGGAUGUACUCUCAUUGCUGAACAAUGACAUCACCAUGGUAACAAACAUGUUGAUCCCUCGCAGGGCCCAUUGUGAGACACACCUCAACAUGGAGUCUCCAGAUCAGCCUGCACUGCGCCAUCCUGGCACUUAACAGGGAAGACCACGCACACACAUGAACACUUUUGUCAAUUAUAUUGUGCGCCUUGUGUCCCGGAUCGAGUCUACUCGUGCUUAGUCGGCAUUAAGAAUAAAUGGGAAACUGUUACCGUCCAAUUUCUCGCUAAAUUAUUUUCCUGUAUUUUUGAUUCCCGUUUGCCCAACACCAUUAUUUAUCAAACUUGCUGUUUUAAAAGAGAGUUACUGUCUCUUGUCCUCAGGCAUAAUCAAAUUUUCCUCCCUAAAACUACACGCACGUGCUGAAAGUGUCACGUGCUUAAAGUAAAAAAACACAACCACACUGCGGAUUAAUCAGUGCGUGCACAGACCACCUCCACUCGGCGUCUUCGGAGUUCAUCUCCUGUGGUCUCUCGUCUCCUUUUAGGCAGCCCCAGUCUGUUGCAAUAAUGUUUUCUGAACUGAAACGUUCUUCAUCGGAAUACCUGGGGUGUUGCUUUUGACACUGAGAGUGAAUUUGUGCCAUACUGGCCACGGUGAAUACCACCGUGCAUGAUAGGACAUAAUAUAUAUAAUCUAACAAAGAUGAUUUGGGGGUGUGGAGAACGAGGGAAACAUGGAAACAAGACUAUAUUCAGGGUGGAGUAAAAGACAGAAACGAUCUGUAGUGCACAGCAAGAUUCAGUGUGGCAUGACACAAGGGUUCACCCGCGGUGAGAAAAGUGUGAUUGCAGAAACUACCAACAUUGUCCAUUAAUUGGUUCUCAUCAUGAUUGGUCUUGCAUUGUUUUCAGGCAUGGCCUUUGUAGAGACAAAAACAUGAGGCAGCACAGCUUUCAUUGUACGACCCUGAUAGCCUCUUCUGAGUUGGCAAUCAAAAUUUGAUUCACUUUCCAGAAAUACCAUUUUCCAUUCCAUGUUUGAAACAUUCUCUUUAAAGAACGAAAUUACUUGGGAACCCUGGAGGGGUUUCUUGACGUCCUGCCAGUUGCCCUGACACCUUUCUUUGCCUCGAACAAAAAUGGAUGAAAAGUUACGAAGUGUUGUAUCUUAUGAAGGAAUCACUCCAACCUUAUUCCACUUCAAUAUCUGCUGAUCAAUCCUUUAGCAACGUUAAACAUGGUGUCCCAUUUGCCGGCAUUAGUUGGUGGACGUUAAAGAUCCCACGGUGGCCUUCACAUAGAGCGGGCGAGCUAUCGCAGGCACCCUGGCCAAAUUCCAAAUUUCCGCUAUUGUUUCAACUAUUGUUGGCAAGGCAAUGGCAAACCCUUGCCAAGAAAAUGCUUCAGCGGUGAUUUCAGAUAGAACACCAGAAAUGAAAAAUAUUUGUUAGCUGGUCUGCAGCAAGAUAAGAGUGAUUAUUAUCGUACAAAUUGUCAGUAUAAAAAAUUAUUUGAAAGUCAUGUUUUUUAUCUGUAACAAUGAAUGCCAAAAUAUGGCUGCCUUUUUAUUAUUUUUAAUACUUUUUUGCACAAGUGUGGAAAAGUUAAACAAAUGAUUAUACUUAUUCAUAUAAAACCCUGGCCUUAUCCAGAAUCCUAAAGUAGAAAAGUAUUUUUAAUUGUAUUAAAAUUAUCCAUAAUUGGUGGUCGAGUUAAUUCAACUUGAAGCUGAAAAAUGUUUGACCAUGCUGUGUUUAAUGAACACGUAAUAAGUUUCGGGCAAUACCAAUAAUAAUAGUAGUAAUAAUAAUAAUAAUAAUAAUAAUAAUAAUGACAACAACAGGAAAGAUGUUGUGCAUAGCACAAUACUUGUGAAAUCCAAAUAAAGAAUAGCUGCCAUGGAAACAGCAAUUAGACAAUCUCGAAAAUUUGACCGAUCAAGUGUUUACAUCAUUGAUUGUUUCAUGCACAGAACAAAUUUGAUUGAUAAAUUUUCUAACUGUGGCUGAAUUGGUGCUUCACACGUUUCAGAUGGCCUUGACCUUCACCUUUGACUACCUUUAACCAAACUUUACACACAUAUUCGACGCACACAUACAAAUGGGCUGUGUAAUUUUCAAUUUGACAUAUGGAAAAAUUAUGGAGGUACUCAGCAUUUUUACCCGUCACUUCACUGAUCGAUUGAAUCAAAAGACAACAUGUUGUGCUUCACAACCAUUCAGCUAUACUCGCCCUAUCAUUUGUCCUUGGACAUCUUCCAUCUACUUGGAAGUCAGCUAACACCGCCUUCUUCAGCCAACUUCUUCUUCUUAUCGGUCACAAUUAAUCCCACGUUCUUGCAUGGUUAACUGGG
Long non-coding RNA from Eptatretus burgeri (inshore hagfish), 3188 nucleotides. The record is from Ensembl. Lineage: Eukaryota; Metazoa; Chordata; Myxini; Myxiniformes; Myxinidae.